Molecule: ribosomal RNA, 207 nt
Filed under: uncultured bacterium
Lineage: Bacteria
Description: partial 16S ribosomal RNA
Rfam family: Bacterial small subunit ribosomal RNA
Source: RNAcentral
UCCGCAGGCGGCCAUGCAAGUUGAGGGUGAAAUCCCCGAGCUCAACUCGGGAAUUGCCUUCAAAACUGCGUGGCUUGAGUUCGGUAGAGGGAGAUGGAAUUCUCGGUGUAGCGGUGAAAUGCGUAGAUAUCGAGAGGAACACCAGCGGCGAAGGCGAUCUCCUGGACCGAUACUGACGCUGAGGGACGAAAGCAUGGGGAGCAAACA